This 253-nucleotide ribosomal RNA is filed under the name uncultured bacterium. RNAcentral describes it as "partial 16S ribosomal RNA". It matches the Rfam family "Bacterial small subunit ribosomal RNA", at positions 524 to 776 of the family's 1533-position model. The record is from RNAcentral.
UACGGAGGGUGCGAGCGUUAAUCGGAAUUACUGGGCGUAAAGCGCACGUAGGCGGUCAGGCAAGUCGGGUGUGAAAGCCCUGGGCUCAACCUGGGAAUUGCAUUCGAAACUAUCUGACUCGAGUAUGGGAGAGGGAAGCGGAAUUUCCGGUGUAGCGGUGAAAUGCGUAGAUAUCUGGAGGAACACCGGUGGCGAAGGCGGCAUCCUGGACCGGCAUUGACGCUGAGGCGCGAAAGCUAGGGGAGCAAACGGG